Molecule: ribosomal RNA, 837 nt
Filed under: uncultured marine microorganism
Description: bacterial SSU rRNA
Rfam family: Bacterial small subunit ribosomal RNA
Source: RNAcentral
UUCCCAGUGUAGCGGUGAAAUGCGUAGAUAUUGGGAAGAACAUCGGUGGCGAAGGCGUGCUACUGGACCGUAACUGACACUCAGGGACGAAAGCUAGGGGAGCGAAAGGGAUUAGAUACCCCUGUAGUCCUAGCUGUAAACGAUGGAAACUAGGUGUGGCUUGUAUCGACCCGAGCCGUGCCGUAGCUAACGCGUUAAGUUUCCCGCCUGGGGAGUACGCACGCAAGUGUGAAACUCAAAGGAAUUGACGGGGGCCCGCACAAGCGGUGGAGUAUGUGGUUUAAUUCGAUGCAACGCGAAGAACCUUACCAGGGCUUGACAUGUCGCGAAUCUCGGUGAAAGCUGAGAGUGCCUUCGGGAGCGCGAACACAGGUGGUGCAUGGCUGUCGUCAGCUCGUGUCGUGAGAUGUUGGGUUAAGUCCCGCAACGAGCGCAACCCUUAUUUUUAGUUGCCAGCAUUAAGAUGGGCACUCUAGAAAGACUGCCGGUGACAAACCGGAGGAAGGUGAGGACGACGUCAAGUCAGCAUGCCCCUUACGCCCUGGGCUACACACGUACUACAAUGGUUGGGACAAAGGGCAGCGACUCCGCAAGGAAUAGCGAAUCUCAUCAAACCCAGCCUCAGUUCAGAUUGCAGGCUGCAACUCGCCUGCAUGAAGGAGGAAUCGCUAGUAAUCGCAGGUCAGCAUACUGCGGUGAAUUCGUUCCCGGGCCCUGUACACACCGCCCGUCACACCAUGGAAGCUGGUCACGCCCGAAGUAGUUACCCUAACCUUUCGAGGAGGGGGAUUCCUAAGGCAGGGCUAGUGACUGGGGUGAAGUCGUAACAAGGUAGCC